UUAAAUUGAAGAGUUUGAUCAUGGCUCAGAUUGAACGCUGGCGGCAGGCCUAACACAUGCAAGUCGAACGGUAACAGGAAGCAGCUUGCUGCUUCGCUGACGAGUGGCGGACGGGUGAGUAAUGUCUGGGAAACUGCCUGAUGGAGGGGGAUAACUACUGGAAACGGUGGCUAAUACCGCAUAACGUCGCAAGACCAAAGAGGGGGACCUUCGGGCCUCUUGCCAUCAGAUGUGCCCAGAUGGGAUUAGCUAGUUGGUGAGGUAACGGCUCACCAAGGCGACGAUCCCUAGCUGGUCUGAGAGGAUGACCAGCCACACUGGAACUGAGACACGGUCCAGACUCCUACGGGAGGCAGCAGUGGGGAAUAUUGCACAAUGGGCGCAAGCCUGAUGCAGCCAUGCCGCGUGUAUGAAGAAGGCCUUCGGGUUGUAAAGUACUUUCAGCGGGGAGGAAGGUGUUGUGGUUAAUAACCACAGCAAUUGACGUUACCCGCAGAAGAAGCACCGGCUAACUCCGUGCCAGCAGCCGCGGUAAUACGGAGGGUGCAAGCGUUAAUCGGAAUUACUGGGCGUAAAGCGCACGCAGGCGGUCUGUCAAGUCGGAUGUGAAAUCCCCGGGCUCAACCUGGGAACUGCAUUCGAAACUGGCAGGCUUGAGUCUUGUAGAGGGGGGUAGAAUUCCAGGUGUAGCGGUGAAAUGCGUAGAGAUCUGGAGGAAUACCGGUGGCGAAGGCGGCCCCCUGGACAAAGACUGACGCUCAGGUGCGAAAGCGUGGGGAGCAAACAGGAUUAGAUACCCUGGUAGUCCACGCCGUAAACGAUGUCUACUUGGAGGUUGUGCCCUUGAGGCGUGGCUUCCGGAGCUAACGCGUUAAGUAGACCGCCUGGGGAGUACGGCCGCAAGGUUAAAACUCAAAUGAAUUGACGGGGGCCCGCACAAGCGGUGGAGCAUGUGGUUUAAUUCGAUGCAACGCGAAGAACCUUACCUGGUCUUGACAUCCACAGAAGAAUCCAGAGAUGGAUUUGUGCCUUCGGGAACUGUGAGACAGGUGCUGCAUGGCUGUCGUCAGCUCGUGUUGUGAAAUGUUGGGUUAAGUCCCGCAACGAGCGCAACCCUUAUCCUUUGUUGCCAGCGGUCCGGCCGGGAACUCAAAGGAGACUGCCAGUGAUAAACUGGAGGAAGGUGGGGAUGACGUCAAGUCAUCAUGGCCCUUACGACCAGGGCUACACACGUGCUACAAUGGCGCAUACAAAGAGAAGCGACCUCGCGAGAGCAAGCGGACCUCAUAAAGUGCGUCGUAGUCCGGAUUGGAGUCUGCAACUCGACUCCAUGAAGUCGGAAUCGCUAGUAAUCGUGGAUCAGAAUGCCACGGUGAAUACGUUCCCGGGCCUUGUACACACCGCCCGUCACACCAUGGGAGUGGGUUGCAAAAGAAGUAGGUAGCUUAACCUUCGGGAGGGCGCUUACCACUUUGUGAUUCAUGACUGGGGUGAAGUCGUAACAAGGUAACCGUAGGGGAACCUGCGGUUGGAUCACCUCCUUACCUUAAAGAA
Molecule: ribosomal RNA, 1554 nt
Filed under: Salmonella enterica subsp. enterica serovar Adelaide
Lineage: Bacteria; Pseudomonadati; Pseudomonadota; Gammaproteobacteria; Enterobacterales; Enterobacteriaceae
Description: bacterial SSU rRNA
Rfam family: Bacterial small subunit ribosomal RNA
Source: RNAcentral